CCUACGGGUGGCAGCAGUGGGGAAUAUUGGACAAUGGGGGGAACCCUGAUCCAGCGACGCCGCGUGAGUGAAGAAGUAUUUCGGUAUGUAAAGCUCUAUCAGCAGGGAAGAAAGAAAUGACGGUACCUGACUAAGAAGCCCCGGCUAACUACGUGCCAGCAGCCGCGGUAAUACGUAGGGGGCAAGCGUUAUCCGGAUUUACUGGGUGUAAAGGGAGCGUAGACGGCGAUGCAAGUCUGAUGUGAAAGGCGGGGGCCCAACCUCCGGACUGCUUUGGAAACUGGAUGUCUGGAGUGCAGGGGAGGUAAGUGGAAUUCCUAGUGUAGCGGUGAAAUGCGUAGAUAUUAGGAGGAACCCCAGUGGCGAAGGCGGCUUACUAGACUGUAACUGACGUUGAGGCUCGAAAGCGUGGGGAGCAAACAGGAUUAGAUACCCUAGUAGUC
Molecule: ribosomal RNA, 443 nt
Filed under: uncultured bacterium
Lineage: Bacteria
Description: partial 16S ribosomal RNA
Rfam family: Bacterial small subunit ribosomal RNA
Source: RNAcentral